Molecule: ribosomal RNA, 297 nt
Filed under: Triticum aestivum (bread wheat)
Lineage: Eukaryota; Viridiplantae; Streptophyta; Magnoliopsida; Poales; Poaceae
Description: partial small subunit ribosomal RNA
Source: RNAcentral
AUGAGGUUAUCGUGCUCACCUUCAAGGAUUGCGCACAUGAUCGACAGAUUAGAUCCCGACCACCAAAAGGCCAUCUGCACUAAAACUGGUCUUGGAGGGCUAACGCAAAUGAAGUCAGUGCUUCUCCGACGUAUUACGUUGGUGCUGCUAGCCAAGACCUACAUAAGAAAAAAGCAGAGUAUUCACAUUGCUGGUAAGGACAUUCCUAUAACUCCAACAGAUGUGUAUGAAUUAAUGGACCUUCCGAUAGAGUGGGAAGAUAUAUAUAUAUAUAUAUGGAAAUCGGAAAACCAAUAG